Molecule: ribosomal RNA, 440 nt
Filed under: uncultured bacterium
Lineage: Bacteria
Description: partial 16S ribosomal RNA
Rfam family: Bacterial small subunit ribosomal RNA
Source: RNAcentral
CCUACGAGUGGCUGCAGUGGGGGAUAUUGCACAAUGGGGGAAACCCUGAUGCAGCGACGCCGCGUGAGUGAAGAAGUAUUUCGGUAUGUAAAGCUCUAUCAGCAGGGAAGAAAAUGACAGUACCUGACCAAGAAGCCGCGGAUACCGACGUGCCAGCAGCCGCGGUAAUACGUAGGGGGCAAGCGUUAUCCGGAUUGACUGGGUGUAAAGGGAGCGUAGACGGUUAAGUAAGUCUGGGGUGAAAGCACGGGGCCCAACCCCGGGACUGCUUUGGAAACUGUGUAACAGGAGGACAGGAGGGGCAGGCGGAAUUCCUGGUGUAGCGGUGAAAUGCGUAGAUAUCAGGAGGAACACCGGCGGCGAAGGCGGCCUGCUGGACUGAAACUGACGUUGAGGCUCGAAAGCGUGGGGAGCAAACAGGAUUAGAUACCCGAGUAGUC